GACGAACGCUGGCGGCGUGCUUAACACAUGCAAGUCGAGCGGUAAGGCCCUUUCGGGGGUACGACGAGCGGCGAACGGGUGAGUAACACGUGGGUGACCUGCCCUCAGCUCUGGGAUAAGCCUGGGAAACCGGGUCUAAUACUGGAUAUGACUCCAUGACGCAUGUUGUGGGGUGGAAAGCCUUGUGCGGCUGAGGAUGGGCCCGCGGCCUAUCAGCUUGUUGGUGGGGUGANGGCCUACCAAGGCGACGACGGGUAGCCGGCCUGAGAGGCGACCGGCCACACUGGGACUGAGACACGGCCCAGACUCCUACGGGAGGCAGCAGUGGGGAAUCUUGCGCAAUGGGCGAAAGCCUGACGCAGCGACGCCGCGUGAGGGAUGACGGCCUCGG
Molecule: ribosomal RNA, 391 nt
Filed under: uncultured bacterium
Lineage: Bacteria
Description: bacterial SSU rRNA
Rfam family: Bacterial small subunit ribosomal RNA
Source: RNAcentral